GCACUUUCGAUGUGCCUAGUGGUUAUGGCGUCUGUCUUACAGUUUUCAGUGUGCACAGAAGGUCGCCGGUUCGAUCCCGGCAGAGGUCA
Non-coding RNA from Mycena metata, 89 nucleotides. The record is from the annotation of a GenBank genome assembly. NCBI's taxonomy places the organism in Eukaryota, Fungi, Basidiomycota, Agaricomycetes, Agaricales, Mycenaceae.